Molecule: transfer RNA, 72 nt
Filed under: Camelus bactrianus (Bactrian camel)
Lineage: Eukaryota; Metazoa; Chordata; Mammalia; Artiodactyla; Camelidae
Also listed under: 1 other name
Rfam family: tRNA
About the family: Transfer RNA (tRNA) molecules are approximately 80 nucleotides in length. Their secondary structure includes four short double-helical elements and three loops (D, anti-codon, and T loops).
Source: Rfam by way of RNAcentral
GAGGGUAUAGCUCAGUGGUGGAGUGUGAGCUUAGCAUGCACAGGGUCCUAGGUUCAUUCCCCAGCACCUCCA